UGUCCUAUCAGCUCGUCACAACUUGCCCUAAUUUCUUUUGAGAUCGCUUCUUUUCAGCGUAACUCUGCCCUAAUCUCAACGCAGGUUUCUUCUUGGUUCCUUGUCUCUCUUUUCUUGUUGCUUAUUUGUAUCUUGAAAAUAACUAAUCUAAUUGAGAAAACAUUUGAAAUCAAGACAUUUGGCUUUGUGGAUUUCCAUCGCAGCUCUGCCCUAAACACGGAGUAGGUGUCUUCUUCUGCAAUUGCUCUAUUUCUUCCAUAAUUGUAUUGAUGACAUAUUUUCUUAUUUUAUUCAAGUUACUGCGCUUCUUCUUCCUCGUUUAUAUCAUUAGAUAGGUUAUAAGUUUCAUAAUCCAGUCUUUUUCUUCUGUACAAUCAAUGGACAGAUUAUUGAAUUGAGAUUUCAAAUAGUUGAUUGAUUCUCUGGAGUGUAUUAUGUGUUAGAAGAUUCAUAUGUUAUACAGAGUGCAUAUUGAAUUUGGAAAAAACAAUUAUUUCGUGAACAAAAUACUAGAUUUAUGUCUUUGAUGUUGAGAUUUUGCGGACAAGUCCUGUUAAGUCUACUAUUUUUUCAGAACUUGAGACCAUCUAUGUGAGCAGGCUUAGUAGAGUUUUAUACAAAGGAAUUAAUUAUAAAAUUUAUAUUUUUUCAGUACAGCAUAAUCUAACAAACAGUCAAUUGAAAAUUAUAAUUGUUGUUUUCUCGUUGUGAACCAAGUCCCUAUUGCUAGUUCGAUUGCAUAACUCAAAUUUUAAUGAUAAAUUUGGACGAGAUCAUCAUAACUAUCUUCCUCCUCGUCAAUUUUUUCACCAUAUUCAAUUAGGAUGUCUUUGAUACAUAUAACUUUAAAAAUAAGAUAUAUUUGCAUCUCCUUAAGAAAAGUGUUCAGUGUGGAAUGUGUGAAAAGAAGAGCAAAAGUUACAGAACUAGUUUCAAUGUUUAUGUUGAGUAUCUCGACAUCCACAUGAAAAUAGGGGAGGUGAGUCUCUCAAAAGGAUAUAAUGUUGCAUCCAUGUAGGUUCUUAAGUAGGAUGUCUUUGAUACAUAUAACUUUAAAAGUAAGAUAUAUUUGCAUCUCCUUAAGAAAAGUGUUCAGUGUGGAAUGUGUGAAAAGAAGAGCAAAAGUUACAGAACUAGUUUCAAUGUUUAUGUUGAGUAUCUCGACAUCCACAUGAAAAUAGGGGAGGUGAGUCUCUCAAAAGGAUAUAAUGUUGCAUCCAUGUAGGUUCUUAAGUAGGAUGUCUUUGAUACAUAUAACUUUAAAAGUAAGAUAUAUUUGCAUCUCCUUAAGAAAAGUGUUCAGUGUGGAAUGUGUGAAAAGAAGAGCAAAAGUUACAGAACUAGUUUCAAUGUUUAUGUUGAGUAUCUCGACAUCCACAUGAAAAUAGGGGAGGUGAGUCUCUCAAAAGGAUAUAAUGUUGCAUCCAUGUAGGUUCUUAAGUAGGAUGUCUUUGAUACAUAUAACUUUAAAAGUAAGAUAUAUUUGCAUCUCCUUAAGAAAAGUGUUCAGUGUGGAAUGUGUGAAAAGAAGAGCAAAAGUUACAGAACUAGUUUCAAUGUUUAUGUUGAGUAUCUCAACAUCCACAUGAAAAGAGGGGAGCUGAGUUUCUCAAAAGUAUAUAAUGUUGCAUCCAAGUAGGUUCUUAAGUAGAUUUAUAGAGAUGGAACCAGUAUGCUCUAUAUAGCAUCACUGUAGAUUUAUAAGCAAGGGAAAUAUGGAUGUGUUAUAUUUGUUGCUUCACUGUAUCAUUUGUUUGAUAUUCUAGUGGUGCUAAAUUUAAAGAUGUACGAUCAUGAUGAAUCUUGAAAAUAAACAAUUACUUUAUUAUUUUUUAGAAUUUAGUUCUAUAUGAGAUCAAGAAAUUGAAACAAGAUAUUUUAAAAUAUACUGCUUGGAAUUUAUAUUAAUAGUUCGUUUUGUAUCCUUUUACUUCAGAACUAUCUCCCUAAAAUUUUUAUUUGUGAAUUAAGAAAGUCUGAAUAUACGAUAUAAGGAGAGCUUUGUUUGAGAAGGAAUUGUGUAUUAUAAAGUAUAUUUAUAGAGCAUACUGGUUCCAUCUAGGUUCUAUUGAACUAGAAUUAUUUUUGUAUAUAGUUAAAUCUGCUUUUGUUUGAAAUCUAUUAUUCAGUAUUAAAUUGACUUGGUAGAAUAGUUGAAUGAACUUAAAUGAUAAAUUAGAAUAUUAAAAGCGAGUGCAUUGUCUCUUAAGCGAGAAGCGAAAUGAAUUGUACUUUAAAUCGCUUUUCUUCCUUGAAGCGAGUCCAAAGUAAAAAGCGAGCCCUUGCUUCCGAAGUAUAGUCCACCAUAGCUCCCCAUAGAGCAGCCACCACUUCCUUCUUAAACUACUUCAAGUUUUUCCUUCUAAUCAUCUCCACUGUAAUCUUCAGUUCUCUUGCAGGUAGUGAGAUGUUGAACAAUUGUUUAAGUUCAGCUCUCAACAUUGCAUCAUAAUGAAAGUCUACAAUCAAGUGUUUGCUUGUCUCAUCAAUGGUGGAGAUGAGUAAACACUUGUUUGUAAACUAUAAUUUUUAACUCUCUUCCUAGUCAAGGAAGAGUCGAUAAUGAAAAACGAGUGCUUCAGGCCAACAUCUUCUUAAGCAACUUUUAAAUCUCUGCCUAGUUAGAGAAGAGGAUGAGAAAUGGGCAAAGGACUACUUUUAUUCUUAUCUUAUACAAACUAUUCCUCGGAAUUCUUCUUCCAUUGAGUGAAUCAUAUAGUUGUGAAAAUCAUAGUUUGAUGUAGGGUUGUGAUUUUGCCAUGAAUAAGGAGAGAAAGGUCAUAAACUAGUAAUCUACGAUAGAAAUUUUUAUCAUAUCUAGAGACAUUCAUGUGAUGGAAAAGAAAAUCAGUGAUACAUCACGACAUAUCUCAAAACGAUCCCUAAUUAAGAGUUAUUAAUGACUAGGACUUGCUACACAUCGUCUGGUCUUCUUGAUGAAAGAAAACAUUGUAGAAUAUUUUAUGUUUUCACUUGAAUUACAAUGCCUAUAUGGGAAUGUAACUCAACUUUCUCCAGUAAAUUGAUCAUGUUGAGGUCAGUACUAUCAGGAGACAAGUUGACACCUCUUAUGAUAUACGAAGUAAAUAUGAUACAUAUUUUCUCAUUCCAAACAAUAUGCAUCUAGGCUUAUCUACUUGCAGUGCCCUUAUACAUGAAAAUGUCUACAAUGCACUGGUUCUGUUUUCAGGUUUAAAUUUGUGGGUACCUCUCAGAUGACUUAUUUGGUUAUUUGGAUCAAUCACAUGUAUGACAUCGGC
This 3260-nucleotide long non-coding RNA is filed under the name Solanum tuberosum (potato). Its description in RNAcentral is "long non-coding RNA (STUB_LNC006338)". The record is from RNAcentral. Lineage: Eukaryota; Viridiplantae; Streptophyta; Magnoliopsida; Solanales; Solanaceae.